RNAcentral lists this transfer RNA (72 nucleotides) under Manacus vitellinus (golden-collared manakin). It matches the Rfam family "tRNA". Rfam says of the family: Transfer RNA (tRNA) molecules are approximately 80 nucleotides in length. Their secondary structure includes four short double-helical elements and three loops (D, anti-codon, and T loops). Further hydrogen bonds mediate the characteristic L-shaped molecular structure. tRNAs have two regions of fundamental functional importance: the anti-codon, which is responsible for specific mRNA codon recognition, and the 3' end, to which the tRNAs corresponding amino acid is attached (by aminoacyl-tRNA synthetases). tRNAs cope with the degeneracy of the genetic code in two manners: having more than one tRNA (with a specific anti-codon) for a particular amino acid; and 'wobble' base-pairing, i.e. permitting non-standard base-pairing at the 3rd anti-codon position. Lineage: Eukaryota; Metazoa; Chordata; Aves; Passeriformes; Pipridae. The record is from Rfam by way of RNAcentral.
CCCCUGGUGGUCUAGUGGUUAGGAUGUGGUGCUCUCACCGCUGUGGUCCGGGUUCGAUUCCCGGUCAGGGAA